UACAUGUGAGGACUUAGGGAGAAGGCAGACUUCUAUAAGUCAGAAGAGAGCUCUCACCAGAAACCACAAAUGCCAGCACCUUCAUCUUGGACUUUCCGACCUCUAGGAUGAAUACUCAGAUCAUGGCAACUCCAGAAUUUCCACGUAAGAAGAGUUUUCAAAGGACAAUCUGAUGGGAGAUGCACUUGACAAGACAUCUGGACGAUCCUAUGAAGGAAAGGCAUGCUUCCCAGAGGCUGGUGCUCACUUCAUAAUGGAGCAGCAGGGCUCUGGCUCUUAAUUCUGUG
This is a long non-coding RNA of Neofelis nebulosa (Clouded leopard), 287 nucleotides long. RefSeq lists it as uncharacterized. NCBI's taxonomy places the organism in Eukaryota, Metazoa, Chordata, Mammalia, Carnivora, Felidae. The record is from RefSeq and is a predicted model, not a curated record. The transcript is spliced from 3 exons.